ACAGGAAAUGUCUCAAGGAUCUUCAAGGAUUCUCAUCUCCAGACCAGAGCGGUCCUUCAAACUGAAGAGUUCCUUCAGACUGAACAUUCCCUGUUCAACCUCCAUCAAUCCACCGAGGAUUAAUCUCAUACAUAGAGACACCACACCAAGCUUUUUCUAAGGCGAUUGUGAAAAUAACAGGGAUUGACAUUGAGAUGGAGUUAUUCAGUGAUGAUGAGAGGAUAGUAUGGACAGAAAUAGUAUCACGAGAUGAAUACUAUCAGAACCAAGGUAAGACCCAGAUGCAGACAGUCCAAGUAACAGUGUUUAUUGUAAGAG
This is a long non-coding RNA of Oncorhynchus nerka (sockeye salmon), 318 nucleotides long. RefSeq lists it as uncharacterized. Lineage: Eukaryota; Metazoa; Chordata; Actinopteri; Salmoniformes; Salmonidae. The transcript is spliced from 3 exons. The record is from RefSeq and is a predicted model, not a curated record.